RNAcentral lists this ribosomal RNA (497 nucleotides) under uncultured bacterium. RNAcentral describes it as "partial 16S ribosomal RNA". It matches the Rfam family "Bacterial small subunit ribosomal RNA", at positions 28 to 507 of the family's 1533-position model. The record is from RNAcentral.
GAUGAACGCUGGCGGCGUGCCUAAUACAUGCAAGUCGAGCGAACAGACGAGGAGCUUGCUCCUCUGACGUUAGCGGCGGACGGGUGAGUAACACGUGGAUAACCUACCUAUAAGACUGGGAUAACUUCGGGAAACCGGAGCUAAUACCGGAUAAUAUAUUGAACCGCAUGGUUCAAUAGUGAAAGACGGUUUUGCUGUCACUUAUAGAUGGAUCCGCGCCGCAUUAGCUAGUUGGUAAGGUAACGGCUUACCAAGGCAACGAUGCGUAGCCGACCUGAGAGGGUGAUCGGCCACACUGGAACUGAGACACGGUCCAGACUCCUACGGGAGGCAGCAGUAGGGAAUCUUCCGCAAUGGGCGAAAGCCUGACGGAGCAACGCCGCGUGAGUGAUGAAGGUCUUCGGAUCGUAAAGCUCUGUUAUUAGGGAAGAACAAAUGUGUAAGUAAAUAUGCACGUCUUGACGGUACCUAAUCAGAAAGCCACGGCUAACUACGUG